This 253-nucleotide ribosomal RNA is filed under the name uncultured bacterium. Its description in RNAcentral is "partial 16S ribosomal RNA". It matches the Rfam family "Bacterial small subunit ribosomal RNA", at positions 524 to 776 of the family's 1533-position model. The record is from RNAcentral.
UACAGAGACUGCAAGCGUUAUUCGGAUUCACUGGGCGUAAAGGGUGCGCAGGCGGCCAAGUGUGUGAGGCGUGGAAGCCUGGAGCUUAACUCCAGAAUUGCACCUCAAACUACAUGGCUAGAGCAUUGGAGAGGGUAGCAGAAUUCAUGGUGUAGCAGUGAAAUGCGUAGAUAUCAUGAGGAAUACCAGAGGCGAAGGCGGCUACCUGGACAAUUGCUGACGCUCAGGCACGAAAGCGUGGGGAGCAAAAGGG